AAGAGCUACGCCCAUUGUAUGCAUCCACUGGCUCAGCUAUUCCUUCUCCAAAGGCUACUCCAGUCAGUUCUAUGGACAUGUCAACACCAAGUCCUCUGGCGCUCAGUUCAUCUUCCAUGAUGCUGCCUACUACUACUACUUCAACACCUCCGAUGUCUCCUGCUGCUACGUGCCUCUGCAAGGACGAGACCGGGUGCUCGAGGAAAGUUUGCUUCUUUGCUCACAAGCAUGAAGAGCUGCGUCCGUUGUAUGCAUCCACUGGUUCAGCUAUUCCUUCCCCAAAGGCUACUCCAGUCAGUUCUAUGGACAUGUCAACAUUGAGUCCUCUGGCGCUCGGUUCGUCUUCCAUGAUGCUGCCUACUACUACUACUACUUCAACACCUCCUAUGUCUCCUGCUGCUACGUGUUCGUCUCCAAUGGGCGGAAACAUGUGGCAGGGCAAGGUGAAUCUCACCCCGCCUGCACUACAGCUUCCUGGUAGUAGGCUAAAGACAUCUCUAAACGCCCGAGACUUGGACUUGGACAUGGAAAUGCUUGGCUUGGAAAGCAUCCGCACGCAGCAGCAACUCAGGCAGCAAUUGAUCGAUGAAAUGGCUGGUCUCUCUUCCCCAUCCAAUUGGAAGAACGAUAACAGGAUGGGGGAUUUGAAGCCUACUAAUCUUGAUGAUGUUUUUGGAUCAAUGGAUUCUCAAUUGUUGUCCCAAUUGCAGGGCCUAUCUCCAAGAAUGACAUCAAACACCAGUUCUCAGUUGUAUUCUCCAUCGGUUUCUCAUAUGCAAGGUCUCUCACCUAAGGUGGCAAAUAACACCUCCCAGCUGCAAUCUCCAACUGGGCUUCAGAUGCGGCAGAACAUGAACCAAUUUCAAGCAAGCUAUUCUAACAUGUCUCAAUCAUCAUCUCCCCUGAGAAAUCCCUCGACGUAUGGAUUCGACUCUUCAGCAGCAGUGGCUGCAGCUGUCAUGAACUCAAGGUCUGCUGCUUUCACAAAGCAGCGCAGCCAGAGUUUUAUUGACCGUAGUG
Molecule: long non-coding RNA, 1020 nt
Filed under: Nicotiana benthamiana
Lineage: Eukaryota; Viridiplantae; Streptophyta; Magnoliopsida; Solanales; Solanaceae
Description: long non-coding RNA (NBEN_LNC021613)
Source: RNAcentral